RNAcentral lists this ribosomal RNA (262 nucleotides) under uncultured bacterium. RNAcentral's name for it is "partial 16S ribosomal RNA". It matches the Rfam family "Bacterial small subunit ribosomal RNA", at positions 526 to 779 of the family's 1533-position model. The record is from RNAcentral.
CGGAGGGCGUAGCGUUGUUCGGAAUUACUGGGCGUAAAGACGCACGUAGGCGGACCAGCAAGUUAGGGGUGGAAAUACCCGGGGCGUCAACCCCGGAACCUGCCCUUAAAACCUAGUUGAUCUGGAGUUCGAGAGAGGUGAGUGGAAUUCCGAGUGUAGAGGUGAAAUUACGUAGAUAUUCGGAGGAACACCAGUGGCGAAGGCGGCGUCACUGGCUCGAUACUGACGCUGAGGUGCGAAAGCGUGGGGAGCAAACAGGAUU